GGGUCAGUAGGUUGGUCGUGCCACCGGUACGUACUGGUCUCACUGAUUCCUCCUUCCUGAAGAACCUUAAUGCCAUUAAUUUGGUGUUGCGGGGAAACAGGACUGUUACUUUGAAAAAAUUAGAGUGUUUAAAGCAAGCUAACGCUUGAAUACAUUAGCAUGGAAUAAUGGAAUAGGACGAUCGAUCCUAUUUUGUUGGUUUCUAGGAUUGACGUA
Molecule: ribosomal RNA, 216 nt
Filed under: Glomeromycotina sp.
Lineage: Eukaryota; Fungi; Glomeromycota
Description: partial small subunit ribosomal RNA
Rfam family: Eukaryotic small subunit ribosomal RNA (bases 40-216)
Source: RNAcentral